UGGUUCUGGCAUCGAUGAAGAACGCAGCGAAAUGCGAUAAGUAAUGUGAAUUGCAGAAUUCAGUGAAUCAUCGAAUCUUUGAACGCACAUUGCGCCCAUUAGUAUUCUAGUGGGCAUGCCUGUUCGAGCGUCAUUUCAACCCUCAAGCCUCGUCGCUUGGUGAUGGGAGCCUACUGGCACUGCCUGUAGCUCCUCAAAGUUAGUGGCGGAGUUCGUUCCAACUCUAGGCGUAGUAACUAUAUCUCGCCUCUGUAGUGGUCCGAUCCCCUGCCGUAAAACACCCCAAAUCAAAGGUUGACCUCGGAUCAGGUAGGAAUACCCGCUGA
Molecule: unclassified non-coding RNA, 326 nt
Filed under: uncultured fungus
Lineage: Eukaryota; Fungi
Description: partial contains 5.8S ribosomal RNA and internal transcribed spacer 2
Rfam family: 5.8S ribosomal RNA (bases 1-133)
Source: RNAcentral